This 250-nucleotide ribosomal RNA is filed under the name uncultured bacterium. Its description in RNAcentral is "partial 16S ribosomal RNA". It matches the Rfam family "Bacterial small subunit ribosomal RNA", at positions 57 to 305 of the family's 1533-position model. The record is from RNAcentral.
GCAAGUCGAACGGUAACGCGAAGAGCUUGCUCUUUGGCGACGAGUGGCGGACGGGUGAGUAAUACUUAGGAAUCUGCCCAGUAGCGGGGGACAACUCGGGGAAACUCGAGCUAAUACCGCAUACGCCCUACGGGGGAAAGCAGGGGAUCUUCGGACUUCACGCUAUUGGAUGAGCCUAAGUCGGAUUAGCUUGUUGGUGAGGUAAAGGCUCACCAAGGCGACAAUCCGUAGCUGGUCUGAGAGGACGAUC